UACAACAUUUUUUAUCGGAUGGGCUGAAGAACAGAUAUUUAGUUGCGACUGGUGUCUUCAACAUGUUGAAAUGCUGGACUCAAGUCAUGGAUUCACUUGAUUAUUACCCACUUAGGGUUCAAAACUCUUUCUGUUUUAAUUCUAUCUCUCAAUGUUCUAGUUUGCUGCAUUUAUUUGGUUCUAUGGAGAUGAUGAUACCAUGAGAAUGAUUUCUUUCAUUUUAUGGGGUGAAUGAUUGUAGGUAAUCCAUCUUGGAAGAAACUUGGCCGACUGCUGCUGUGCUCUUUGACUUUCGUCAGUGUUGGAUUUUGAGCCUAAAUUGGUGUGAUCACCUCUUAGUCAGAACUCAUUUGGUUUACUUUAUUUUGUGAGCUCUUUCCUUCAUGUUAUAGUAAGUAUGUGUUGAAAUAUUGUAUGCUUUGGGGAAAUAUUGUUUGCUUAGGGCUGUGUUUGGCUGUUAUCCUUGAAGCAAUGCUUUGUGAAGACAAAUGCAGUGUUUUUUGAUAUUAGGU
RNAcentral lists this long non-coding RNA (512 nucleotides) under Amborella trichopoda. Its description in RNAcentral is "long non-coding RNA (ATRI_LNC000974)". The record is from RNAcentral. Lineage: Eukaryota; Viridiplantae; Streptophyta; Magnoliopsida; Amborellales; Amborellaceae.